RNAcentral lists this unclassified non-coding RNA (615 nucleotides) under Hevea brasiliensis (rubber tree). The record is from RNAcentral. Lineage: Eukaryota; Viridiplantae; Streptophyta; Magnoliopsida; Malpighiales; Euphorbiaceae.
CUGCUGCGACUGGAACAGCGCCGGCCGCCCGAUCUUCGAGAUGCCGUCGGGGCCGCGCGUGAGCCAGAUCGCAUUGAUCAUGACCAGCGUGACGAUCUGCUGGAACGAGAUCGUGACCAGCUGGGGCGUGCUCAGGCGGAGCAAUCCUCCGGCGGCCAGCGCCAGUAGCGAACCGGCCACAAGGCAAAUCCAGAAAUUGAUCUGGUAAUCAGCCGUGCCCAAUCCGACGGCAUAGGCGCCCAAUCCGAAGAACGCCGCCUGUGCCAGAUUGAUCUGUCCGCACAACCCGAGCACGACCGUCAGACCGAAUACCGCGAUGGCAAACGUCGCCGCCUGCAUCAGAAUAUUGAGGACGUAACCAUCGAAGUUCAUGGUCGCCGCGGCGAACACGGCAACCGCAGCGAGGAGGAAGUACGGCAGAUGUCGGAGCACAAGCGGCGUCGAGCGCAGGGUCGCGGUGACAGGUAUGUUCUGGCUCGGCAUGCUCAUGCUUUUUCCNNNNNNNNNAUGCCUUGCGGACGGAAGACCAGGAACGCGAUCAGCACGAGGAAUGCGAACGCAUCCUUGUACGGAACCGACACAUAGGCGGCACCGAAGGUCUCAAUGAUGCCGAGU